Molecule: long non-coding RNA, 2261 nt
Filed under: Gossypium barbadense (sea-island cotton)
Lineage: Eukaryota; Viridiplantae; Streptophyta; Magnoliopsida; Malvales; Malvaceae
Description: long non-coding RNA (GBAR_LNC017718)
Source: RNAcentral
UCUGAAAUGUUUCACCGUCGACAAGCCUGCUAGACUUAAAGUCUGAAACAUAUCACUGGCAUCAAGCCUGCUAGGCACCGAGCCUGAACACUCAAUUUAUAUAAAUACAAAUCACUUUCAAAAUGUAUAUGUAUAUAAGAUUCCAUGUAUAAAAAUUUAGCUCAAUAUAUAUAAAUUAUGCCUUUAAACCACAUAGGUAUAUAAAGUUCAGAUAUUGAAUCCAGCUCAAUAACUUAAUUAUACAUAUGAUCAUAUACAGAUAUAUAACUUAAUACAUUAAGGGCUACUAUUAAUAUCAUGCAUUCGAACAUCUUAUAGUAAUCCAAGCUAACAAUUUUGUACCUUCAACUCCAUUCAAAAGCUUCACAUGAAUAUAAUUACAUAAUUGAAUCUCACAUAAACUUAUAUAAUUAUCAUACCUAAAUUCAAUACAUAAACAUGUACAUAUAUAAGUUUGUAUAUAUUCGAGUCUCAUACAUACUUUAUAAAAUAGUCAUACCUAAAUUUAACACAAAAACAUAUUCAAUUAUAUUUGUAUUUCCAAACUUCAUAUAAACUUAUAUAAAAAUUAUACCCAAACUCAAUACAAAAACAUAUACAUGUAAAUAUAUAUUUAUGUGCUCAUUCAAUUCUAUCAUAUACAUAUAAAUUUCAACUCACAUGUACAUACCAUUUCAAAACUACUUAUGCAAAUAUAACAUAUAUAUUUUUAAUCAAUCCAAUAGUUUGUACAUAUAUGUACUUACAUAUAUAUAUACAUUCGAACCUUCUAUAUAUAUACACUAUACAUACCUUUCGAUUAAUAACCAAGAAUUUAUACAUAAGCCAUAUUCAUUCUUCAACUAAAUUCAAGAGCUUACAUAUAUGUGUAUACAUAUAUGUAUAUUCGAACAUUAAUCAUAUAUUUAUAUAUAUACAUAUCAUUUUUACUUUGACUAAAUUCAAGCUAUAUACUUUCAAUUUAAGCUCAUCCAAAUACAAUAUAUAUAUGUAUAUUAAUUAAUAACAUUAAAUUGCUAGUUGACUUACCUCGGACGGUGAAAAAUCGAAAUCGGACGAUUAUUCGACGAUUUUAUCUUUCCCCCGAUCAAACUCCGAUUUCUUUGGUUCUUGAUCUAAAUAUAUCCAGAAUGAGCUAAUUUAAAUAUUAAAACAUUCAAUUUAAUCCAAAAACACAUAAAUAAGAAAAUUACCAUUUUGCCCCUAAUAUUUUACACUUUUUGCAAUUUAAUCCCAAUUGCAUAAAACACAAUUUACACAAAAUCUCACAACAACAUAGCUAGGCCGAAUCUUCCUUGUAUUCAUACAAGUCCAUGCAUUUCAUUUAUUUUUCAUUUUAGUCCCUCAAAAAUUUAUUUUUUUAAUUUAGUCCUAAUUACUCAAAUUUACCAAAAAUUUAAAGACAAAACAUGUUAAUCUAACACAUAUAUUUCAUAAUCCAUCAUCAAACAUCAUAGAACACAAUUAUUCAUUAAUGGCAUAACUCAAAAUAUUCAUCAAAAUCAAAAAUUCUAGCAUGGGUCAGAUAGUAUUCGAAGCAACGAUCUCAAAAAUAUAAAAAUUAUCAAAAACCGAGCUAGAACUCACCUUGAAUCAAGCUCAACAAUGGCCGAAUACCCUAGCUUUGUUUCUUUAAUUUCUUUUGUUUUGUUUCGUGAUGAAGAUGAAGGGAAAAAAAUGAUAAUGGCUUUUUUUUAAUGUUUAUUAUAACAUAAUAAUAUAUUAUACCUUAUUAUAACAUAUAUAUAUUAUAUUAAUAAUAUAAGAAAACCAUAUAUAUCACCUAAUGCCGUCCACUAACUUGGAAAAUGGCUUAAUUGCCACAUAGAACCUCCAAUUUAUAAAGACAAAAACAAUUAAGCACUUUCAUAUUUAACCCUCAAAUUUUCACUUUACGCGAUUUAGUCAUUUUCUCAAAUUAAGCAUACAAACAGUAAAAUUAUUUCACGAAACUUUCACAUAUAUAAUUUCACACAUAUUUAACACAGAAAAUAAUAUUAAAAUAUUUUUAGACUCGGAUUCGUGGUCUCGAAACCACUUUGUCCGAUUAGGGUCAAAAUUGGGCUGUUACAGUUUCAUUCAAUUUACACAUUUUAAGUUCUAGCUAAUCAUAUUCAUGAUAAAUACAUGUAUAUAGAUUAAGUUUAGAAAACAUUUACUUGCUAAUUGACUUACCUCGGACGAUGAAAAAUCGAAAUCGGACGAUUAUUCGACGACUUUAGCUUUUCCCUGAUCUAACUUCGAUUUCUUUGGUUCUUGAU